GUAGAUUUUUGGUGCGAUGUGGCUUUGUUUGAGCUUUAUAAAAGUUAGAAGUUGCAACCUAAAGAGAGUCUCUAUCUGCAAGAUUGGCUUUUAAUUAGGGCCGAUUCUUUUUGCACAUCGGUCAUUCGGGU
Molecule: regulatory RNA element, 131 nt
Organism: Campylobacter fetus subsp. fetus
Lineage: Bacteria; Pseudomonadati; Campylobacterota; Epsilonproteobacteria; Campylobacterales; Campylobacteraceae
Rfam family: purD RNA motif
Source: Rfam